RNAcentral lists this non-coding RNA (249 nucleotides) under Clostridium tetanomorphum. RNAcentral's name for it is "T-box sequence". It matches the Rfam family "T-box leader". From Rfam's summary of the family: Uncharged tRNA acts as the effector for transcription antitermination of genes in the T-box leader family. Lineage: Bacteria; Bacillati; Bacillota; Clostridia; Eubacteriales; Clostridiaceae. The record is from RNAcentral.
UUAUAAACUAUGAUGAGAAGAGUAUGUAAAGGAAGUAACUUUAGCGAGCCAGUGGUAGUGUAAGACUGGUGUGAUGCCUUUAUUGAAGAACAUCUCUGAGUUUCUAACCGAAAUCAAAAUUUUGAUAGUAGGCUUAGAGGUUUCCAAAACCUUAUUUUUGGUAUGUAUAGAUUUUUCUGUACAGAUAUGAGGCGGCCAAAUUUUUGGCAAAUUGGGUGGUACCGCGAAAAUCAGUCUUUCGUCCCUUUA